RNAcentral lists this ribosomal RNA (301 nucleotides) under uncultured bacterium. RNAcentral's name for it is "partial 16S ribosomal RNA". It matches the Rfam family "Bacterial small subunit ribosomal RNA", at positions 509 to 809 of the family's 1533-position model. The record is from RNAcentral.
CAGCAGCCACGGUAAUACAGAGGGUGCGAGCGUUAAUCGGAUUUACUGGGCGUAAAGCGUGCGUAGGCGGCUUCUUAAGUCGGAUGUGAAAUCCCUGAGCUUAACUUAGGAAUUGCAUUCGAUACUGGGAAGCUAGAGUAUGGGAGAGGAUGGUAGAAUUCCAGGUGUAGCGGUGAAAUGCGUAGAGAUCUGGAGGAAUACCGAUGGCGAAGGCAGCCAUCUGGCCUAAUACUGACGCUGAGGUACGAAAGCAUGGGGAGCAAACAGGAUUAGAUACCCGUGUAGUCCCUGUCUCUUAUAA